This 492-nucleotide ribosomal RNA is filed under the name uncultured bacterium. RNAcentral's name for it is "partial 16S ribosomal RNA". It matches the Rfam family "Bacterial small subunit ribosomal RNA", at positions 29 to 507 of the family's 1533-position model. The record is from RNAcentral.
AGUGAACGCUGGCGGUAGGCCUAACACAUGCAAGUCGAACGGCAGCACAGUAAGAGCUUGCUCUUACGGGUGGCGAGUGGCGGACGGGUGAGGAAUACAUCGGAAUCUACUUUUUCGUGGGGGAUAACGUAGGGAAACUUACGCUAAUACCGCAUACGACCUACGGGUGAAAGCAGGGGAUCUUCGGACCUUGCGCGAUUGAAUGAGCCGAUGUCGGAUUAGCUAGUUGGCGGGGUAAAGGCCCACCAAGGCUACGAUCCGUAGCUGGUCUGAGAGGAUGAUCAGCCACACUGGAACUGAGACACGGUCCAGACUCCUACGGGAGGCAGCAGUCGGGAAUAUUGGACAAUGGGCGCAAGCCUGAUCCAGCCAUACCGCGUGGGUGAAGAAGGCCUUCGGGUUGUAAAGCCCUUUUGUUGGGAAAGAAAAGCAGCAGGUUAAUACCCCGCUGUUCUGACGGUACCCAAAGAAUAAGCACCGGCUAACUUCGUG